Molecule: ribosomal RNA, 508 nt
Filed under: uncultured bacterium
Lineage: Bacteria
Description: bacterial SSU rRNA
Rfam family: Bacterial small subunit ribosomal RNA
Source: RNAcentral
GGCGGCGUGCCUAAUACAUGCAAGUCGAACGGUCUUUCUAUGGAAGCUUGCUUCCACUGAGAAGAUAGUGGCGAACGGGUGAGUAACACGUGGGUAACCUGCCCAUAAGAGGGGGAUAACAUCCGGAAACGGGUGCUAAUACCGCAUAGUUUUCUUGAUCGCAUGAUCGGGAAAGGAAAGACGGCCUUUGUGCUGUCGCUUAUGGAUGGACCCGCGGCGUAUUAGUUAGUUGGUGAGGUAACGGCUCACCAAGACGAUGAUACGUAGCCGACCUGAGAGGGUGAUCGGCCACAUUGGGACUGAGACACGGCCCAAACUCCUACGGGAGGCAGCAGUAGGGAAUCUUCCGCAAUGGACGAAAGUCUGACGGAGCAACGCCGCGUGAGUGAAGAAAAGGUUUUCGGAUCGUAAAACUCUGUUGUCAGAGAAGAACAAGUUGGAGAGUAACUGCUCCAGCCUUGACGGUAUCUGACCAGAAAGCCACGGCUAACUACGUGCCAGCCGCAGC